GGUUAAGUGACUAAGCGUACACGGUGGAUGCCUAGGCAGUCAGAGGCGAUGAAGGGCGUGCUAAUCUGCGAUAAGCGUCGGUAAGGUGAUAUGAACCGUAAUAACCGGCGAUACCCGAAUGGGGAAACCCAGUGCAAUUCGUUGCACUAUCAUACGAUGAAUACAUAGUCGUAUGAGGCGAACCGGGGGAACUGAAACAUCUAAGUACCCCGAGGAAAAGAAAUCAACCGAGAUUCCCCCAGUAGCGGCGAGCGAACGGGGAGGAGCCCAGAACCUGAAUCAGUUCUUGUGUUAGUGGAAGCGUCUGGAAAGUCGCACAGUAAAGGGUGAUAGUCCCGUACACUAAAAUGCAUUAAUUGUGAGUUCGAUGAGUAGGGCGGGACACGUGACAUCCUGUCUGAAUAUGGGGGGACCAUCCUCCAAGGCUAAAUACUCCUGACUGACCGAUAGUGAACCAGUACCGUGAGGGAAAGGCGAAAAGAACCCCGGCGAGGGGAGUGAAAUAGAACCUGAAACCGUGUACGUACAAGCAGUGGGAGCACCUUCGUGGUGUGACUGCGUACCUUUUGUAUAAUGGGUCAGCGACUUAUAUUUUGUAGCAAGGUUAACCGUAUAGGGGAGCCGUAGGGAAACCGAGUCUUAACUGGGCGAAUAGUUGCAAGGUAUAGACCCGAAACCCGGUGAUCUAGCCAUGGGCAGGUUGAAGGUUGGGUAACACUAACUGGAGGACCGAACCGACUAAUGUUGAAAAAUUAGCGGAUGACUUGUGGCUGGGGGUGAAAGGCCAAUCAAACCGGGAGAUAGCUGGUUCUCCCCGAAAGCUAUUUAGGUAGCGCCUCGUGAACUCAUCUUCGGGGGUAGAGCACUGUUUCGGCUAGGGGGCCAUCCCGGCUUACCAAACCGAUGCAAACUCCGAAUACCGAAGAAUGUUAUCACGGGAGACACACGGCGGGUGCUAACGUCCGUCGUGAAGAGGGAAACAACCCAGACCGCCAGCUAAGGUCCCAAAGUCAUGGUUAAGUGGGAAACGAUGUGGGAAGGCAUAGACAGCCAGGAUGUUGGCUUAGAAGCAGCCAUCAUUUAAAGAAAGCGUAAUAGCUCACUGGUCGAGUCGGCCUGCGCGGAAGAUGUAACGGGGCUAAACCAUGCACCGAAGCUGCGGCAGCGACGCUUAGGCGUUGUUGGGUAGGGGAGCGUUCUGUAAGCCGUUGAAGGUGACCUGUGAGGGUUGCUGGAGGUAUCAGAAGUGCGAAUGCUGACAUAAGUAACGAUAAAGCGGGUGAAAAGCCCGCUCGCCGGAAGACCAAGGGUUCCUGUCCAACGUUAAUCGGGGCAGGGUGAGUCGACCCCUAAGGCGAGGCCGAAAGGCGUAGUCGAUGGGAAACAGGUUAAUAUUCCUGUACUCGGUGUUACUGCGAAGGGGGGACGGAGAAGGCUAGGCUAGCCGGGCGACGGUUGUCCCGGUUUAAGCGUGUAGGGGGAGUGACCUGGUAAAUCCGGUUACUUACUAACCCUGAGGCGUGAUGACGAUGCACUACGGUGCAGAAGUAGUUGAUGCCAAGCUUCCAGGAAAAGCCUCUAAGCAUCAGGUAACACAGAAUCGUACCCCAAACCGACACA
RNAcentral lists this ribosomal RNA (1620 nucleotides) under Serratia liquefaciens. Its description in RNAcentral is "partial 23S ribosomal RNA". It matches the Rfam family "Bacterial large subunit ribosomal RNA", at positions 1 to 1661 of the family's 2925-position model. The record is from RNAcentral. Lineage: Bacteria; Pseudomonadati; Pseudomonadota; Gammaproteobacteria; Enterobacterales; Yersiniaceae.